RNAcentral lists this ribosomal RNA (365 nucleotides) under uncultured bacterium. RNAcentral describes it as "bacterial SSU rRNA". It matches the Rfam family "Bacterial small subunit ribosomal RNA", at positions 28 to 421 of the family's 1533-position model. The record is from RNAcentral.
GACGAACGCUGGCGGUGUGCUUCACACAUGCAAGUCGAACGAGGUAGCAAUACCUAGUGGCGGACGGGUGAGUAACGCGUGGGAAUCUGCCUUUAGAUGGGGGAUAACGGGUCGAAAGACUCGCUAAUACCGCAUAUGACGAAAGUUGAAAGGAGUAAUCCGUCUAAAGAUGAGCCCGCGUCCGAUUAGCUAGUUGGUAGAGUAAAAGCCUACCAAGGCGACGAUCGGUAGCUGGUCUGAGAGGAUGAUCAGCCACAAUGGGAACUAGAGACACGGCCCAUACUCCUACGGGAGGCAGCAGUGGGAAUUUACGCAAUGGCGAAAGCCUGACGUAGCGACACCGCGUGAGCGAAGAAGCCCUUGGG